This 253-nucleotide ribosomal RNA is filed under the name uncultured bacterium. RNAcentral's name for it is "partial 16S ribosomal RNA". It matches the Rfam family "Bacterial small subunit ribosomal RNA", at positions 524 to 776 of the family's 1533-position model. The record is from RNAcentral.
UACGGGGGGGGCAAGCGUUGUUCGGAAUUACUGGGCGUAAAGGGCUCGUAGGCGGCCAACUAAGUCAGACGUGAAAUCCCUCGGCUUAACCGGGGAACUGCGUCCGAUACUGGAUGGCUUGAGUUUGGGAGAGGGAUGCGGAAUUCCAGGUGUAGCGGUGAAAUGCGUAGAUAUCGGGAGGAACACCUGUGGCGAAGGCGGCCCCCUGGGCCGGCCCUGACACUGAGACGCGAAGGCGUGGGGAGCGAACGGG